AGUGAACGCUGGCGGCAGGCCUAACACAUGCAAGUCGAACGGACGCACAGUAAGCGCUUGCCCUUACGGGUGGCGGGUGGCGGACGGGUGAGGCAUACAUAGCCUACUAAUUUUUCUGGGGGGAUUACGUGGAGAAGCUUCCGCUACUACCGCAUAUGAUGUACGGGUUAAAUCAGGGGUUCUUCGCACCUUUGGCGACACAUUUAGACGAAGCCGGAUUAGCUAGUUGGGUGGGUAAAGGACCACCAAGGCGACGAUACGUAGCUGAUCUGAGAGGAUGAUCGGCCACACUGGAACUGAGACACGGUCCAGACUCCUACGGGAGGCAGCAGUGGGGAAUAUUGGACAAUGGGCGAAAGCCUGACCCAGCCACACCGCGUGGGUGAAGAAGGUCUUCGGGUUGUAAAGCCCUUUUAUUAGGAAAGAAAAGCAGUGGAUUAAUACGCCGCUGUUCUGACGGUACCCAAAGAGAAAGCACCGGCUAACUUCGUG
This 492-nucleotide ribosomal RNA is filed under the name uncultured bacterium. RNAcentral describes it as "partial 16S ribosomal RNA". It matches the Rfam family "Bacterial small subunit ribosomal RNA", at positions 29 to 507 of the family's 1533-position model. The record is from RNAcentral.